UCACUAACCCUCUCAGACUCACUCUGUAUCAUCUCUCACUCACGAAACCCUACACUAUUUCUCUCCCGAUCUGAGACUAACCCUACCUCAUCGGCCGCCAUCUCUAUCGCGCGCUCUCUCCGUCUCUCUGUCUCUCCUUCAACUCGUCUCUAUCGCACUCGCUCUCUCUCUCUCUCUCUCUCUCUCUUAGUCACAUCUUUAAGUCUCUUAGAGACGCGAGACUCAUUCUCUUUCUCCAAACCUAACCAAACAUCAAUCCAAUAUCAUUGGUUUUUGGAGCGAAUCCUUGUAAAUUUUGGAGGGCUCUGGUUCAUUCUAAGUUGUUGUGCUUAGUCUCUGUGGGUUUGGAUUAAUAGGCAAAAUUGAAGAUUGUUGCGUUGCAGCUUUCUGGAUGCAGGUUUGACACUUUGUCGAAUUGGAACAAUGAUGAUGGAGAAGCCAUGGGAGCUGCAAAACAUGUUUUGUUUGCAGCUCCCUUAACUGAUACAAGUGAAUAUAUUUGGUGCUUUACCUUUUUUUUUUUUUUUU
This is a long non-coding RNA of Prunus dulcis (almond), 528 nucleotides long. RefSeq lists it as uncharacterized. The record is from RefSeq and is a predicted model, not a curated record. Lineage: Eukaryota; Viridiplantae; Streptophyta; Magnoliopsida; Rosales; Rosaceae. The transcript is spliced from 4 exons.